Small nuclear RNA from Bos grunniens (domestic yak), 103 nucleotides. NCBI's taxonomy places the organism in Eukaryota, Metazoa, Chordata, Mammalia, Artiodactyla, Bovidae. The record is from Ensembl.
UUGCUUUGGCAGCACAUAUAGUAAAAUUGGAAUGAUACAGAGAAGAUUAGCAUGGCCCCUGUGCAAGGAUGACAUGCAAAUUCCUGAAGCAUUCCAUAUUUUU